This 858-nucleotide long non-coding RNA is filed under the name Physcomitrium patens. RNAcentral describes it as "long non-coding RNA (PPAT_LNC007597)". The record is from RNAcentral. Lineage: Eukaryota; Viridiplantae; Streptophyta; Bryopsida; Funariales; Funariaceae.
AGUCUUGUAACACCACUGUUGGAUAAGCGGUUCGAGGAUUUCAAUGUUAGAAUAACAACGAAUCUGCUGUCUACAGAGGCUGGUCGCAGCCAGUCCAUUCACAUUUGACACGGAAGCACUGUUUUGUGUGGACCGCGCCCAGCAACCUCCCUGCCCACAGUUCUGCAAGGCUUAGUAAUAGGUUCUGCAUACCGACGUCUUUGUGGAUUUGGUGUGGCAUUACCUACAACCUUGAGCAUUUCUGUGAAGGAACCGCUGUUUGGUUGUUUAUUUCUUUGAUUGACAUCGGUUUUCUGACCCGUUUCAGAGUACUACAUUCUCCACCCUCGGUUCCAAGGCAGGAUAGACCUAACAUUCCAGCUUAGCUCUAAGCUCAUACACGGCAAGUAUCCUACGAGAGAAGCAUAUUCUUGUGCGAGGUGCUCUUCACUGAUCAUGAUCACAUCGAGUAUUGCUCUAUCAAUCCAGCUGUCGUAGAUGAGAAUUGAGAGGAAUAUCAUUAGCUAGCUGCUUUCAGGUGCUCUUAGUGAUGGGGGAAGUUUCACAACUUUUGCAAAAAGCCUUUUGGUUCAAGGUUUUUCGUUCUAUGUGAAGAGGUAUACUCAAAACACUUCGUCGCUAACAAAGAAUCCGUUAAUUAGCACUGACUAAACAUUCUCAUUAUUUUAACAUGAGUAUGUCAGUCCAUAUAUAGCCAGUACUCAUCUAUAUCUUAACCAGACCAGAUACACUCUAGCUUCGCUACUAUUCAAUUCAGUCGCACAUGUCAACAAUCUGGUUAGCAGAUGACUGGAUGCUGUUUGAUUUUGAUUUUGAUUUUUUUUUUAUUCUUUAAGUGACAUGGAAUGAAUGUCAUAU